GAUGAACGCUGGCGGCGUGCCUAAUACAUGCAAGUCGAGCGAACGGACGAGAAGCUCGCUUGUCUGAUGUUAGCGGCGGACGGGUGAGUAACACGUGGAUAACCUACCUAUAAGACUGGGAUAACUUCGGGAAACCGGAGCUAAUACCGGAUAAUAUUUUGAACCGCAUGGUUCAAAAGUGAAAGACGGUCUUGCUGUCACUUAUAGAUGGAUCCGCGCUGCAUUAGCUAGUUGGUAAGGUAACGGCUUACCAAGGCAACGAUGCAUAGCCGACCUGAGAGGAUGAUCGGCCACACUGGAACUGAGACACGGUCCAGACUCCUACGGGAGGCAGCAGUAGGGAAUCUUCCGCAAUGGGCGAAAGCCUGACGGAGCAACGCCGCGUGAGUGAUGAAGGUCUUCGGAUCGUAAAACUCUGUUAUUAGGGAAGAACAUAUGUGUAAGUAACUGUGCACAUCUUGACGGUACCUAAUCAGAAAGCCACGGCUAACUACGUG
Molecule: ribosomal RNA, 497 nt
Filed under: uncultured bacterium
Lineage: Bacteria
Description: partial 16S ribosomal RNA
Rfam family: Bacterial small subunit ribosomal RNA
Source: RNAcentral